GGUGAAACUGCGAAUGGCUCAUUAAAUCAGUUAUCGUUUAUUUGAUAGUACCUUACUACAUGGAUACCUGUGGUAAUUCUAGAGCUAAUACAUGCUAAAAACCCCGACUUCGGGAGGGGUGUAUUUAUUAGAUAAAAAACCAAUGCCCUUCGGGGCUCCUUGGUGAAUCAUAAUAACUUAACGAAUCGCAUGGCCUUGCGCCGGCGAUGGUUCAUUCAAAUUUCUGCCCUAUCAACUUUCGAUGGUAGGAUAGUGGCCUACCAUGGUAGCAACGGGUAACGGGGAAUUAGGGUUCUAUUCCGGAGAGGGAGCCUGAGAAACGGCUACCACAUCCAAGGAAGGCAGCAGGCGCGCAAAUUACCCAAUCCCGAUACGGGGAGGUAGUGACAAUAAAUACUGAUACAGGGCUCUUUUGGGUCUUGUAAUUGGAAUGAGUACAAUUUAAAUCCCUUAACGAGGAACAAUUGGAGGGCAAGUCUGGUGCCAGCAGCCGCGGUAAUUCCAGCUCCAAUAGCGUAUAUUAAAGUUGUUGCAGUUAAAAAGCUCGUAGUUGAACCUUGGGCCUGGCUGGCCGGUCCGCCUCACCGCGUGUACUGGUCCGGCCGGGCCUUUCCUUCUGGGGAGCCGCAUGCCCUUCACUGGGCGUGUCGGGGAACCAGGACUUUUACUGUGAAAAAAUUAGAGUGUUCAAAGCAGGCCUUUGCUCGAAUACAUUAGCAUGGA
RNAcentral lists this ribosomal RNA (723 nucleotides) under Intumescentia tinctorum. RNAcentral's name for it is "SSU rRNA". It matches the Rfam family "Eukaryotic small subunit ribosomal RNA", at positions 80 to 813 of the family's 1831-position model. Lineage: Eukaryota; Fungi; Ascomycota; Dothideomycetes; Mycosphaerellales; Teratosphaeriaceae. The record is from RNAcentral.